RNAcentral lists this ribosomal RNA (444 nucleotides) under uncultured Streptococcus sp. Its description in RNAcentral is "bacterial SSU rRNA". It matches the Rfam family "Bacterial small subunit ribosomal RNA", at positions 936 to 1382 of the family's 1533-position model. The record is from RNAcentral. Lineage: Bacteria; Bacillati; Bacillota; Bacilli; Lactobacillales; Streptococcaceae.
AGCAUGUGGUUUAAUUCGAAGCAACGCGAAGAACCUUACCAGGUCUUGACAUCCCGAUGCUAUUUCUAGAGAUGAAAGUUACUUCGGUACAUCGGUGACAGGUGGUGCAUGGUUGUCGUCAGCUCGUGUCGUGAGAUGUUGGGUUAAGUCCCGCAACCGAGCGCAACCCCUAUUGUUAGUUGCCAUCAUUCAGUUGGGCACUCUAGCGAGACUACCGGUAAUAAACCGGAGGAAGUGGGGAUGACGUCAAAUCAUCAUGCCCCUUAUGACCUGGGCUACACACGUGCUACAAUGGUUGGUACAACGAGUUGCGAGUCGGUGGCGGCGAGCUAAUCUCUUAAAGCCAAUCUCAGUUCGGAUUGUAGGCUGCAACUCGCCUACAUGAAGUCGGAAUCGCUAGUAAUCGCGGAUCAGCACGCCGCGGUGAAUACGUUCCCGGGCCUU